This 72-nucleotide transfer RNA is filed under the name Capra hircus (goat). It matches the Rfam family "tRNA". Rfam says of the family: Transfer RNA (tRNA) molecules are approximately 80 nucleotides in length. RNAcentral also lists the same sequence under 1 other name. The record is from Rfam by way of RNAcentral. Lineage: Eukaryota; Metazoa; Chordata; Mammalia; Artiodactyla; Bovidae.
CCCUAGUGGGCUCAGAUAGUAAAGAAUCUGCCUGCAAAGCAGGAAACUCGGGUUCAAUCCCUGGAUCAGGAA